UCAGUAGCAUAUUGGUUAGAGCACAGUCCCGACAAGAUUGAGACGCGGGUUCGAAUCCCGCCUGA
Molecule: transfer RNA, 65 nt
Filed under: Nippostrongylus brasiliensis
Lineage: Eukaryota; Metazoa; Nematoda; Chromadorea; Rhabditida; Heligmosomidae
Rfam family: tRNA
About the family: Transfer RNA (tRNA) molecules are approximately 80 nucleotides in length. Their secondary structure includes four short double-helical elements and three loops (D, anti-codon, and T loops).
Source: Rfam by way of RNAcentral